CCUACGGGUGGCAGCAGUGGGGAAUAUUGCACAAUGGGCGAACGCCUGAUGCAGCAACGCCGCGUGUGCGAUGAAGGCCUUCGGGUCGUAAAGCUCUGUCCUCAGGGAAGAUAAUGACAGUACUUGUGACGGAAGCCCCGGCUAACUACGUGCCAGCACCCGCGGCAAUACGUAGGGGGCUAGCGUUCUCCGGAAUUACUGGGCGAAAGGGGAGUGUAGGUGGUUUCUUUAGUCAGAGGGAAAAGGCUACGGCUCAACCGUAGUAGGCCUUUGAAACUGGGGAGCUAGAGUUCAGGAGAGGGGAGUAGAAUUCCAAGUGGAGCGGUGAAAGGCGUAGAGAGGAGGAGGAACACCGGUGGCGAAGGCGGCACACUGGACUAAGACUGACGCUGAGGCACGAAAGCGUGGGGAGCAAACAGGAUUAGAUACCCGGGUAGUC
Molecule: ribosomal RNA, 439 nt
Filed under: uncultured bacterium
Lineage: Bacteria
Description: partial 16S ribosomal RNA
Rfam family: Bacterial small subunit ribosomal RNA
Source: RNAcentral